UAAAGAAUUCCCAGAAACAAAUUUACUUAGCUCCUUACAUUGAUCAAAAUCAUUGGCAGUUGUUGGUUCUUUGUCCUAUAAGUAAUGUUGCUGUAUGGUUUUGUUCUUUGCAUCAUAAGCCCACUAUGCAUGUCAAAAAUUUAGUCAAAAGUGUUAUGGCUGUGUAUAAUGUCAUGAAUGGUAGAUCUACUGCAUUAUCAAAGAACUUAGAAUGGAUUUACCCCAUG
Molecule: non-coding RNA, 227 nt
Organism: Cajanus cajan (pigeon pea)
Lineage: Eukaryota; Viridiplantae; Streptophyta; Magnoliopsida; Fabales; Fabaceae
Source: RefSeq, a predicted model, not a curated record